RNA transcript from Sapajus apella (tufted capuchin), 1255 nucleotides. It is a transcript of the gene named developmental pluripotency-associated protein 4 pseudogene, with no coding region annotated. Lineage: Eukaryota; Metazoa; Chordata; Mammalia; Primates; Cebidae. The transcript has a single exon. The record is from RefSeq and is a predicted model, not a curated record.
CUGGCCAAGCUCCGCUUCCUGUCUGAAUAUGGAGAAGGUAAAAGGCAAGGAGUGGACCUCCACAGAGAAGGCGAGGGAAGAGGAUCAGCAGGCUUCUAAUCAACCAAACAUGAUUGCUUUGCCAGGAACAUCAGCGAAGGGGGGAACCAAAGGAAAAGUAUCUGUUAAAGGUGACAAAAUGCUCUGCCCUAAGAAGAAGGCAGACUGUGAUAACCCCAGACCUCAGAAGAAGAUACCAAUCCCUCCCUUACCCUCUAAACUGCCACCUGUUAAUCUGAUUCACCGGAACAUCGUACGGGCCUGGUGUCAGCAAUUAAAGCUGAGCACCAGAGGCCAGAAACUGGAUGCGUAUAAGCGCCUGUGUGCCUUUGCUUACCCAAACCAAAAGGAUUUCCCUAGCACAGCAAAAGAGGCCAAAAUCCGGAAGUCAUUGCAAAAUAAAUUAAAGGUGGAAAAAGGGAAAGCGUGCCUGCAGAGUUCUGGGACACAGCCUCCUCAAGUGACCCUUCCCCCUGCGGAGGGGCUGCCUGCUCUGGAAGAGUCCACUGCUCUCCUUGAGGGAGUUAGUACGGUUGUGGUGACAACUUCUGCCCCAGAGGCUGUGCUGGCCUCCUGGGCGAGAAUUUCAGCCAGGGCAAGGACGCCAGAGGCAGUGGAACCUCCACAAGAAGCCAGUGGUGUCAGGUGUUGUGUGGUCCAUGGGAAAAGUCUCCCUGCAGGCACAGAUGGUUGGGUGCACCUGCAGUUUCAUGCUGGUCAAGCCUGGGUUCCAGAAAAGCAAGAAGGGAGAGUGAGUGCGCUCUUCCUGCUUCCUGCCUCCAGUUUUCCACCCCCACACCUUGAAGACAAUAUGUUGUGCCCCAAAUGUGUUCACAGGAACAAGGUCUUAAUAAAAAGCCUCCAAUGGGAAUAGAAUAUCAGGAAAAAGCCCAUAUCUAUGAUAAUUAAUGGCAGAAAGGCUGGAGAGUUGGAUUCUGUGGUGCUGCUGAACAGGUGAACUUGGUCCUCUCCACGCCUGCUUAUGGUCCAUGCAGACUGCUGGGGUGGCAGAUCUUAGCCUAUGACCCCUAGCAGUACCUGUUGCUUUGUAAGUAGAGAUAUGAUAGACUCUUGCAUUUAAAAACGGGAAAACAUUUCACAAAGUACCAUAAAUUGUAGUUAAUAUGUAGAAAAACUUAUUCAUACUACCUUUCUAAAAUAGAAAAGACUUCAGCAGCUGUUCUGUUUUGUUCUGUUUUGUUUUAUUUUAUUUUUU